RNAcentral lists this long non-coding RNA (354 nucleotides) under Lactuca sativa (garden lettuce). Its description in RNAcentral is "long non-coding RNA (LSAT_LNC003663)". Lineage: Eukaryota; Viridiplantae; Streptophyta; Magnoliopsida; Asterales; Asteraceae. The record is from RNAcentral.
CCUCCGGGUUCGGAGCAAAAUCUACUUUCUUCGGAGCUUCUUGUUUUGGCUUCUCCGCCUCUUUAGGUUUCCCCUCCGGUGGCUUCCCUGCAUCCUUCGGUUUAGCCUCCGGUGGCUUCCCAGCAUCCUUCGGUUUCGCCUCCGGUGGCUUCCCUGCGUCCUUAGGUUUGGCCUCCGGUGGCUUUCCUGCAUCCUUUGGCUUGUCAGCGGCUUUGGGUUUCUCCUGUUGAUCCUUUGGCUUGUCAGCAGCUUUGGGUUUCUCGGCUUCCUUGGGUUUUCCGGCAGGCUUGUCGGCAGCUGGUUUGGCAUCUUUUGGUUUGUCAGCCGGUGGCUUCGCCUUCUCAGCCUCUUUUG